GCUGAAAAUUAGUGAAUUGUCAAGUUCUACAACGUUGUGACAAGUCAAAAUGGGAUCUCACGUUCGAAGAAGUUGAGUUUCAUGGAAACUUUAAGAAUACCAAAUCAAAUGUAACGGAAUAUUUUGUUCUUUCAAGCCAAAAUGGAGAAUCAGCUUAUAAGUACAGUAAAUGGCAACUUGUAUCCUUCCAGCAACUCCUUUAAUUGCACCGAGAUAUUUGAGAUGCUAAUACUCGCCAUCCCUUGUAUAGAGCACAAGAGGCCGAGAUUCCGAUUCAGGUGGCCCCUUUCUGAGACAGCUCUUUCAUGUAUAUAGGUAGAUCACCUUGGCCGUCAGAUAUGGCAUUGUACUUGAAAUUGGAACUGAAGUAGCAAAAUUUAAUACAAUUCAGUAGUCAUCUAAGCACCAGUGCAAGGCAUAAAGCUGAAGUCAAAAAUCAGGGGACCAUCAUCUAUGUGAUCUUUGCCUCCGAUCUUCUUCAUCCCGUCCAUCACGGUGGAGGCGAGAUCGUUUCUCCAUUUCCCUGCUUUCUCUUUUUUCUGUAUGAUAAGAUUCAGAUUCAUAUCUUUUUUGUCUUCUUUCGUCUUUCCUAUCAUCGUAUUCCUUUGAGAUCACAUCAUCAUGCCUCCUAGAUUUUCUCCCAAUAGCUUCCCCCGAGUCUUGUACAUCAUCAUACCGCCU
Molecule: unclassified non-coding RNA, 681 nt
Filed under: Hevea brasiliensis (rubber tree)
Lineage: Eukaryota; Viridiplantae; Streptophyta; Magnoliopsida; Malpighiales; Euphorbiaceae
Source: RNAcentral